UAUCCUGUCCUUUUGGUUUUCCCAAUACGAUCUGAAAAGUCUGCAUGGGAAGAGAAGAGAGGAGAAAGGAAUGGAAAGGUUGUCCCACCUUUGUCACUGCUUCUAACUCCCAGGCAAGGGAGGGGAUUUAAAGAGUUACUUGUUUCCACCAGAGGCCCCUUGGAAGGGUCCCUUCCCAGGAGGGAAGCCAUGGGCAGUUAUGAUGGGCAGAGAACAGAGGGUCAAGAGCCCAGGACCAGAAGAAAAGCAAAGGAGCUUUCGAUAAUAAAAGCAUCAUUUUUCCAGUCCUCUCUGGGGUGCUGUGCCCAAAGCACCACAUACCCCAGGUAUCCAAUCAGCUGGAAAAAGGGGGCAUAUUUUCCCAUUUUCUGCUCCUCAAAUCAAUGGAAUCCUCAUGCCCAAAUGCUUUUAUAGUCUUUAUCGCCACGUACCACCCUCCACCUGACAAUUUGACUCUAAGAUGCUCACAUAAGGAAAAGGUAGAAGAAGUAACCAACCCACCUCAUGACAAAGUACCCACCAAGUCCCUUCCCCUCCAUUUAUCAUGGCUAACAGAGAAGACGGGAUGAUUCCCAGAUCACCUGCCUGCUCACCUGUCCCUUAUCCUUCACCCAGCCCAGGGAACCACCACAGGGCUGGUGGCUGAAGCAACUGAAACUUGAUGGUAGAAGCUGAAUGUGAGUUAUGACAAAGACAAUGCUUUCAUCUGAGGGUUAGGCACUGUAUUUUUUUUACUAAUCUGAGGAGACAAGGUUGAGAGGGACAUGGACCUUAAGUCUUUUCACUUCACUUACUAUAAUGGUAAACUAGUACAACUCGGGGGUACAUCAAAUGUAUUGAUAUGGGAUGGCAGUUUUCAGAGCUUUAGACAGAGUUCUAAACCUGAUCUAAGAAUGAUUUUGUUGCUCCAACUUCUUAUCUGCCAUUAGCCAACUCUAAGUCUGGCAAAAGUGGAAAUAAGGCAGCAAGGGGAACAGGUCAUGGUUAGUAUGGGAGUGUCAAAGGCCAUAUAGUCAGUAUUUGUUUCAUUUUGGUAAAAUGCAAGGUAGAGGAGGCCUAGGGGUGUGUGUUGGUGGUAGAGAGGAAGUAUGAAAUCGGAGGGAUAGUCUAGGAGAGGUUGAAUGCAAUGGAAAUAAGAGUGGGAAGAUAAGACAGGAGAGGAGGAAACAUUCUUGGAUGCUAAUAGGAGUCAAGAGGAGGGGGCCAAGUCUUGCAUUGUGAGAGGUGCACAAGCUUAUGAGGUAUAGGUUGGGGGUAGGUGAAAUGUUAGGUUACAGUGCAAUGGAAUUGGUGGCAGCCUGAAAGAGCACACUUACAGAAAAGAAGAAAACAAAAGGAAGGCGAGAGCUUUCACAGAGGAGAUGGAGGACAAUUUACACAAUAACUAUAAUGUUGUAAAGACAAUCCACCUUGAAAGAUUUAAAAACUCUGAUCAAUGCAAUGAUCAGCCAGGACUCCUGGGGGUAGAUUCCAGGCCACCCAUGUCCUGAAAGAGAGGUGGUGGACUCAGGAUGAUGAAUGGGAUAUAUGAUUUUUUGGAGGGGGCUACUGUGGGAAUUUGUUUUGACUACUUGUAUUUUUUUCUGUUCCACUAUCAUAUUAAAAUACAAAGAUAUCAACCAUCUAUUUUUUCUCCCUUCAGGCUCUCCUAACACCACCCCCCAAACUGGAAAAGAAAAAAAAACACUUGUAACAAAUAAGUACAAUGC
Molecule: long non-coding RNA, 1709 nt
Organism: Vombatus ursinus (common wombat)
Lineage: Eukaryota; Metazoa; Chordata; Mammalia; Diprotodontia; Vombatidae
Exons: 4
Source: RefSeq, a predicted model, not a curated record